UACGGAGGGUGCAAGCGUUAUCCGGAAUCAUUGGGUUUAAAGGGUCCGCAGGCGGACGUAUAAGUCAGUGGUGAAAGCCUACAGCUUAACUGUAGAACUGCCAUUGAUACUGUACGUCUUGAAUGUGGUCGAAGUGGGCGGAAUAUGUCAUGUAGCGGUGAAAUGCUUAGAUAUGACAUAGAACACCGAUAGCGAAGGCAGCUCACUAGGCCAUAAUUGACGCUCAUGGACGAAAGCGUGGGGAGCAAACAGG
This 253-nucleotide unclassified non-coding RNA is filed under the name uncultured Flavobacteriales bacterium. RNAcentral describes it as "contains 16S-23S intergenic spacer region". It matches the Rfam family "Bacterial small subunit ribosomal RNA", at positions 524 to 776 of the family's 1533-position model. Lineage: Bacteria; Pseudomonadati; Bacteroidota; Flavobacteriia; Flavobacteriales. The record is from RNAcentral.